UCAGGAUGAACGCUAGCUACAGGCUUAACACAUGCAAGUCGAGGGGCAGCAUCAUCAAAGCUUGCUUUGAUGGAUGGCGACCGGCGCACGGGUGAGUAACACGUAUCCAACCUGCCGACAACACUGGGAUAGCCUUUCGAAAGAAAGAUUAAUACCGGAUGGCAUAGUUUUCCCGCAUGGGAUAAUUAUUAAAGAAUUUCGGUUGUCGAUGGGGAUGUGCUCCAUUAGGCAGUUGGCGGGGUAACGGCCCACCAAACCAACGAUGGAUAGGGGUUCUGAGAGGAAGGUCCCCCACAUUGGAACUGAGACACGGUCCAAACUCCUACGGGAGGCAGCAGUGAGGAAUAUUGGUCAAUGGACGAGAGUCUGAACCAGCCAAGUAGCGUGAAGGAUGACUGCCCUAUGGGUUGUAAACUUCUUUUAUACGGGAAUAAAGUUAGCCACGUGUGGCUUUUUGUAUGUACCGUAUGAAUAAGGAUCAGCUAACUCCGUGCCAGCAGCCGCGGUAAUACGGAGGAUCCGAGCGUUAUCCGGAUUUAUUGGGUUUAAAGGGAGCGUAGGCGGGUUGUUAAGUCAGUUGUGAAAGUUUGCGGCUCAACCGUAAAAUUGCAGUUGAUACUGGCGACCUUGAGUGCAACAGAGGUAGGCGGAAUUCGUGGUGUAGCGGUGAAAUGCUUAGAUAUCACGAAGAACUCCGAUUGCGAAGGCAGCUUACUGGAUUGUAACUGACGCUGAUGCUCGAAAGUGUGGGUAUCAAACAGGAUUAGAUACCCUGGUAGUCCACACAGUAAACGAUGAAUACUCGCUGUUGGCGAUAUACGGUCAGCGGCCAAGCGAAAGCAUUAAGUAUUCCACCUGGGGAGUACGCCGGCAACGGUGAAACUCAAAGGAAUUGACGGGGGCCCGCACAAGCGGAGGAACAUGUGGUUUAAUUCGAUGAUACGCGAGGAACCUUACCCGGGCUUAAAUUGCAACUGACUGAACCGGAAACGGUUCUUUCUUCGGACAGUUGUGAAGGUGCUGCAUGGUUGUCGUCAGCUCGUGCCGUGAGGUGUCGGCUUAAGUGCCAUAACGAGCGCAACCCUUACGGGUAGUUACCAUCAGGUUAUGCUGGGGACUCUACCCGGACUGCCGUCGUAAGAUGUGAGGAAGGUGGGGAUGACGUCAAAUCAGCACGGCCCUUACGUCCGGGGCUACACACGUGUUACAAUGGGGGGUACAGAAGGCAGCUACACGGCGACGUGGUGCUAAUCCCGAAAGCCUCUCUCAGUUCGGAUUGGAGUCUGCAGCCCGACUCCAUGAAGCUGGAUUCGCUAGUAAUCGCGCAUCAGCCACGGCGCGGUGAAUACGUUCCCGGGCCUUGUACACACCGCCCGUCAAGCCAUGAAAGCCGGGGGUACCUGAAGUACGUAACCGCGAGGAGCGUCCUAGGGUA
Molecule: ribosomal RNA, 1435 nt
Filed under: uncultured organism
Description: 16S ribosomal RNA
Rfam family: Bacterial small subunit ribosomal RNA
Source: RNAcentral